ACAUGCAGUCGAACGGAUUGUAGCAAUACAGUCAGUGGCGCACGGGCGAGUAACACGUGGGUAACCAACCCUGGAGCGGGGGAUAACGUUUCGAAAGGAACGCUAAUACCGCAUAAGCUCACGUUCUCGAGAGAGGAUGGGAGAAAAGCUGGCGAUUUUAAUAGCUAGCACUCCGGGACGGGCCCGCGGCCCAUCAGGUAGUUGGUAGGGUAAUGGCCUACCAAGCCGAAGACGGGUAGCUGGUCUGAGAGGAUGAUCAGCCACACUGGAACUGAGACACGGUCCAGACUCCUACGGGAGGCAGCAGUGGGGAAUCUUGCGCAAUGGGCGAAAGCCUGACGCAGCGACGCCGCGUGAGUGAUGAAGGCCUUCGGGUUGUAAAGCUCUGUGGAGAGGGAAGAAUAAGGCUGGGGUAAUAUUCCAGUUGAUGACGGUACCUCUUUAGCAAGCACCGGCUAACUCUGUGCCAGCAGCCGCGGUAAGACAGAGGGUGCAAACGUUGUUCGGAAUGACUGGGCGUAAAGCGUGUGUAGGCGGCUCCAUAAGUCUGAUGUGAAAGCCCCGGGCUCAACCUGGGAAGUGCAUUGGAAACUGUGGAGCUAGAGUGGCGGAGAGGUUGGUGGAAUUCUCGGUGUAGAGGUGAAAUUCGUAGAUAUCGAGAGGAACAUCGGUGGCGAAGGCGGCCAACUGGACGCAAACU
This 700-nucleotide ribosomal RNA is filed under the name uncultured bacterium. RNAcentral's name for it is "bacterial SSU rRNA". It matches the Rfam family "Bacterial small subunit ribosomal RNA", at positions 53 to 741 of the family's 1533-position model. The record is from RNAcentral.